UCUUGGUCUACAUUGAGGAAGUAAAAGUCGUAACAAGGUCUCCGUAGGUGAACCUGCGGAGGGAUCAUUACACAAAUAUGAAGCCGGACUGGGAUAGGGCCUCGCUGCCUUGCCCGUCUGGCGCCAUAUUCACCCAUGUCUUUUUGCGUACUACUUGUUUCCUUGGCGGGUCCGCCCGCCAAUUGGACCUUAUUCAAACCUUUUUUUCAGUUGCAAUCAGCGUCAGCAAAACAAAUGUAAUCAAUUACAACUUUCAACAACGGAUCUCUUGGUUCUGGCAUCGAUGAAGAACGCAGCGAAAUGCGAUAAGUAGUGUGAAUUGCAGAAUUCAGUGAAUCAUCGAAUCUUUGAACGCACAUUGCGCCCUUUGGUAUUCCAAAGGGCAUGCCUGUUCGAGCGUCAUUUGUACCCUCAAGCUUUGCUUGGUGUUGGGCGUCUUGUCUCUCUCCCGAGACUCGCCUUAAAAUCAUUGGCAGCCGGCCUACUGGUUUCGGAGCGCAGCACAUUAUUUGCGCUCUUGUCCAGCCGCGGUCGCGCGUCCAUGAAGCUUCUUUCAACCUUUGACCUCGGAUCAGGUAGGUGCCCCUUGAUC
RNAcentral lists this ribosomal RNA (592 nucleotides) under Pyrenophora tritici-repentis. RNAcentral's name for it is "eukaryotic LSU rRNA". The stretch from base 249 to 402 matches the Rfam family "5.8S ribosomal RNA". The record is from RNAcentral. Lineage: Eukaryota; Fungi; Ascomycota; Dothideomycetes; Pleosporales; Pleosporaceae.